RNAcentral lists this ribosomal RNA (445 nucleotides) under uncultured bacterium. RNAcentral's name for it is "bacterial SSU rRNA". It matches the Rfam family "Bacterial small subunit ribosomal RNA", at positions 43 to 507 of the family's 1533-position model. The record is from RNAcentral.
CGUGCCUAAUACAUGCAAGUCGAGCGGAGAUUUAGCAAUAGAUUCUUAGCGGCAACGGGGUGAGUAACGCGUUGGUGACCUGCCUCGAAGUUUGGGAUAACAGUUCGAAAGGACUGCUAAUACCGGAUGUGAUCGCGGAGAUUAGAGGCUCUGUGAUUAAAGGAGAAAUUCGCUUCGAGAGGGGCCUGCGUCCCAUCAGCUAGUUGGUAAGGUAAAGGCUUACCAAGGCGAUGACGGGUAGGGGACCUGAGAGGGUGGCCCCCCACAAUGGAACUGAAACACGGUCCAUACACCUACGGGUGGCAGCAGUAGGGAAUAUUGCAUAAUGGGCGAAAGCCUGAUGCAGCAACGCCGCGUGUGCGAUGAAGGCCUUCGGGUCGUAAAGCACUUUUGGAGGGGAUGAGGAAGGACAGUACCCUUCGAAUAAGCUUCGGCUAACUACGUG